GGGCUCAGGUAGGGAUAAACAAGAUAGCAUACUUGCAUGGCAUCUAUUGUAAAGUUAAAAUGAGGAUCCAAGGAGAAGAAUGUCAUAAUAUUAGAUCAAGAUGUGCAAGUGUGUAGAAAAUGGAGUAGAAUGCUCCUCUAUUUCAUAAGAUCUCUCUCUAAUUUUUAUUUGAGACAUGGCUAGCAUUUUUUUAGAGAAAUGGACCUUCAUCUGUCCACUUUGUUUAAGUGUCCACUUUUUUUUCUUUUUUGCAGAGCCUUUGUGUCUCAUCUACUAAGCAAUACUUAGAGAUAUAUUCUAAAACCUUAAAACAUGGAGCAUCUAUAUGGUGGAGAUGGAUGACAUGUUUUUGUGUACUUCUAGUGUAGAAGCAGCAUGUGUAUAUGUGGCGUGUAUGUGAUGU
RNAcentral lists this long non-coding RNA (403 nucleotides) under Sorghum bicolor (sorghum). RNAcentral describes it as "long non-coding RNA (SBIC_LNC006333)". The record is from RNAcentral. Lineage: Eukaryota; Viridiplantae; Streptophyta; Magnoliopsida; Poales; Poaceae.